Molecule: ribosomal RNA, 253 nt
Filed under: uncultured bacterium
Lineage: Bacteria
Description: partial 16S ribosomal RNA
Rfam family: Bacterial small subunit ribosomal RNA
Source: RNAcentral
UACAGAGGGUGCAAGCGUUGUUCGGAAUUAUUGGGCGUAAAGCGCGUGUAGGCGGCUUGGCAAGUCGGGUGUGAAAUCCCUCAGCUCAACUGAGGAAGUGCGCCCGAAACUGCUUUGCUUGAGUGCCGGAGAGGAUGGCGGAAUUCCCCAAGUAGAGGUGAAAUUCGUAGAUAUGGGGAGGAACACCGGUGGCGAAGGCGGCCAUCUGGACGGUAACUGACGCUGAGACGCGAAAGCGUGGGUAGCAAACAGG